Molecule: long non-coding RNA, 2704 nt
Filed under: Sus scrofa (pig)
Lineage: Eukaryota; Metazoa; Chordata; Mammalia; Artiodactyla; Suidae
Description: lncRNA (ENSSSCG00015075635.1)
Source: RNAcentral
AUGACCGAUUCUGCCUCUGUAUUUCACAUUGGGUUGGUGGGGGGCAAUAGGAAGGAGAUGAUGGAAAAAGGAAAAAGAAUAGGAGGUUGGAUUUUUGUAUAUAUCCUAAUGAGGAGAAAGACACGAGAGCAUAUAUCUAGUGCUCACUGGAUUAUCAUCACCAUGAAAAAUCGGCAAGGAAGACCUAUUAGUUGUGUACAGACAUGUUCAAAUUUGGUACACUGACAAAGGAUGGGGCCAGCCUAGGGAGUCCUUACCCUUGCUAGAUCAAGAGCCUUAAUCUUGUGUGGUAAGUGGGUGGGUGUGGAUGUGUAAUAUCCUACUGUGAGCUCUGUCAGUGUAGUUCUAAGGGCGAAUAGAUUUACUUUUAACUGACAAGGAAAGGAGGAGCUCUUCCUGGGUUUUCACUACCUAAGUAGGCAAUUAAUGAGAGAGAAUCAGAGCUCUAAGAAAAAAUUGCAGUGGUGUUUAAACUUGAACAUGGAAUCUUCCACUCCCUACCUAAAUGUGCAAUUUGGUAUAAGAUACUUCAGGAUUGAAUUGUAAACUUGUGUUUACCAGCAGGACUUCUUAUGCAGUCCUUUAGCACAUUCUCUUACGUUUCUACACUAGGUUGUGUUAGUUGCUAAACCCUGAGACACCAACCGUUUCUCUCAAAAAUCAUCUUAGAUUGUACAAGGGCUACAGCGUCCCAAGCCCUGACCUCUCCCCACUUUUUCAAAAAUCACUGUCCAUACAUUAUAUCUUCUACUUAUAAUUAUAUUGCUAAAUUAUAUUGGAAUUAAAGAAUCCCUAAAAACAACUUAAUCAUAGUCUAUAUAAGUGUUCUUCUUUGUUUAUAAGUGUAAGUAGUAUCAUCACUGUGUAGUAUAGAUAUUUCCUCCCACCACCAACCCACCCUGCUUCUUCCCUUCAUUCAUCACUGAGGUGGGACCACUAGAUUUAAUGAAAUUCUGUUUCCUGUGUGACUUGUAUUAUGUUCUACCCACUAAAAUACAAGAGUAGAGUGAAAAGUCACUUGGGAUUACUGCCAGAGGUUGUUCGGAAGAAACCACAUCUAGUAACCCUGUUAUAUCUGGCAUAGUUCAUACUCAGAGCCAGCACGAAAAGACUCAGAAGGUUAAAUUCUCCUACUGGAACAUUUUCAGUUACAUGUGCUUUAGGCGUAUAAAAGGCCUAAUAAUCUCUUUUACCUAAAAAUGCUGUUCUUAUCAAAUAAUAGUUAACUUACUGGGUUUUUUUCUCCCAUAGAUAUGUUGCUUGGAAGUCUUGGGAAAAUGCAGGAAAGGAAACAGAUUGAUAGGCAUUCAGUAUUUUUCGUUCAUGCAGAUAUUUUUAAUCACAGGAAAAUUUUUAAAUUAUUUUUCUGACUUUAGUCAAGGACUCUAUAGAAAGCUGCAGAUUGUGCAGUUUUGACUGGGAUCCUGAUAAUGAUCUAUAAUUUUAGUUUCUUUAUAAUAGUGACCUUUUGUCUUGACUACUAAGAAGGGUUGAGUGAAAUACAGAACUAAAUUCAGUCUUUAUAAUCUACAAUUGAACCUAUACCUAUCCUGAUUUUCAAAAUAUUACUGACUGAUCUGAAGAAUAUGACUAUUAAGAGUUUAGGUCUCUAGGUUUAAGUUAAGAGCUCUCUGUGCUGACCCUUACAUGCUUCCUGAGAAUUAAUAUUAUAGUAAAAAUUAUUGGUGAGCUGCUUCUUUCCAGAUGGGCCCUCCGUUACGUACACGUCUGGUCUUAGACUUCCCCAUACAUCCGCUUUGCCUGGGACAAAGACCUCUUUUGGAUUUUCAUGACCACACAUAUACUGAUUAGCUAAACCUUUAUUUGUAAGUGUAAGCAGACAAGAAAAUGUUACUAGUUAUAUGAAGAGAAUCAAUAGCUUGAACGUGGACAAUGAAGCUGAGCCAUCAAACCAAAUUCUUCACCCUGUCUCUACUAACACAGCUAAUGUAAGAAAAUAGGAGAUAACUUUAAAAAUUUUCAUUAGUAUUCUCACUGAGGUUUUAAAGGAUAUUGUUGCAUCAGCAAAACAAAAACAGGCUAUCCUGAUGACCCUCAGAAUAAAAGUCCAGUUAUUGUGUCCUAUAAGGUCUCAUGGCCUGUCUUCACUUCCUGCUCUCCUCCAGCCCAAUCUUCCUGAUCCAGCCAAAGAGGGCUCCUUGCUGUUCUUGAACAUGAUGGGCUCUUCUCACUUCCCAGGCUCUUCUCUCUGAGUGGGAAGCUCAUUUUUUUUUUUUUUUUUUUGUCUUUUGUCGUUUUAGGGCUGCACCUGUGGCAGAUGGAGGUUCCCAGGGUAGGGGUCUGAUUACAGCUGUUGCUGCCGGCCUACACCACAGCAAUACCAGAUCUGCAAUCUACACCACAGCUCACACAGCCACAAUGGAAACACCCUGCCUGGGAGGCUCUUAAAUAGUCACAUGGCUAACUCCUUUACCUCCUUUAAGAGACUGGAAUGUGAUCUGGCAUAUGGUAGCUGCUCAAUAAAUAGUUUUUGAAAGAUUGAAAUUAAAUAGUAAACCUAGGGAGCUCCUGUGGGGCUCAGAGGAAAUGAAUCUGGCUAGGAUCCAUGAGGACGCAGGUUUGAUCUCUGGCCUCGCUCAGUGGGUUAAGGAUCCAGCAUUGCCAUGAGCUGUGGUGUAGGUCACAGAUGCAGCUUGGAUCUGGCAUUGCUAUGGCUGUGGUGUAGGCCAGAGGCUACAGCUAU